Long non-coding RNA from Phoenix dactylifera (date palm), 374 nucleotides. RefSeq lists it as uncharacterized. Lineage: Eukaryota; Viridiplantae; Streptophyta; Magnoliopsida; Arecales; Arecaceae. The record is from RefSeq and is a predicted model, not a curated record.
AGUGAAGAGAUUGUAAGUUUUUCAGACAUUGCAGUGUGGUGAGUUAGUACCUCUCUUGUAUGCUUGUAUGCUCAGCAUGUUGUGCAGGUAAAAAAUGUUGAUGCUUGUAUGCAUAAGUUUCAGAAAUAUAUAGUACUUAUCAAAACCAAUUUUCUGGUAGAUGUCUGCAGCAGCAUUUGCCAAAGGCCUUCUUGAUUUGGAGGGUCAGUUAACUCCAAUUCUGGAUUCACUGGUUAGUAAAGACUCUUCUAUGCUGGAUGGACUAGAAGAUGCUAGCACUGAGAUGGAUGAAGCAAAGGGCCUGGUUGUUCUUGGCUUUGGAGAGGCAGAGGAACUUGGACCUUGCUUACUUUAACAGGAGACUUGCAAAAAGG